RNAcentral lists this ribosomal RNA (468 nucleotides) under uncultured bacterium. Its description in RNAcentral is "partial 16S ribosomal RNA". It matches the Rfam family "Bacterial small subunit ribosomal RNA", at positions 28 to 507 of the family's 1533-position model. The record is from RNAcentral.
GACGAACGCUGGCGGCGUGCUUAACACAUGCAAGUCGAUCGGAAAGGCCCUGCUUUUGUGGGGUGCUCGAGUGGCGAACGGGUGAGUAACACGUGAGUAACCUGCCCUUGACUUUGGGAUAACUUCAGGAAACUGGGGCUAAUACCGGAAAGGAGCUCCUGCUGCAUGGUGGGGGUUGGAAAGUUUCGGCGGUUGGGGAUGGACUCGCGGCUUAUCAGCUUGUUGGUGGGGUAGUGGCUUACCAAGGCUUUGACGGGUAGCCGGCCUGAGAGGGUGACCGGCCACAUUGGGACUGAGAUACGGCCCAGACUCCUACGGGAGGCAGCAGUGGGGAAUAUUGCACAAUGGGCGGAAGCCUGAUGCAGCAACGCCGCGUGCGGGAUGACGGCCUUCGGGUUGUAAACCGCUUUCGCCUGUGACGAAGCGUGAGUGACGGUAAUGGGUAAAGAAGCACCGGCUAACUACGUG